Molecule: ribosomal RNA, 253 nt
Filed under: uncultured bacterium
Lineage: Bacteria
Description: partial 16S ribosomal RNA
Rfam family: Bacterial small subunit ribosomal RNA
Source: RNAcentral
UACGUAGGUGGCAAGCGUUGUCCGGAAUUAUUGGGCGUAAAGAGCUCGUAGGCGGUCCGUUAAGUCGGAAGUGAAAUCUCAAGGCUCAACCUUGAAAUCGCUUUCGAUACUGGCGGACUUGAGGCAGGUAGGGGAAGGUGGAAUUCCUGGUGUAGCGGCGAAAUGCGCAGAUAUCAGGAGGAACACCGGUGGCGAAGGCGGCCUUCUGGGCCUGUUCUGACGCUGAGGAGCGAAAGCGUGGGGAGCAAACAGG